UACAGAGGGUGCGAGCGUUAAUCGGACUUACUGGGCGUAAAGCGUGCGUAGACGGCUAUCUAAGUCGGGUGAAAUCCCCGGGCUCAACCCGGGAACUGCGUCCGAUACUGGCAGGCUUGAAUCCGGGAGAGGGAUGCGGAAUUCCAGGUGUAGCGGUGAAAUGCGUAGAUAUCUGGAGGAACACCGGUGGCGAAGGCGGCAUCCUGGACCGGCAUUGACGCUGAGGCGCGAAAGCCAGGGGAGCAAACGGG
RNAcentral lists this ribosomal RNA (251 nucleotides) under uncultured bacterium. Its description in RNAcentral is "partial 16S ribosomal RNA". It matches the Rfam family "Bacterial small subunit ribosomal RNA", at positions 524 to 776 of the family's 1533-position model. The record is from RNAcentral.